This 1451-nucleotide ribosomal RNA is filed under the name Lacticaseibacillus paracasei. RNAcentral's name for it is "bacterial SSU rRNA". It matches the Rfam family "Bacterial small subunit ribosomal RNA". The record is from RNAcentral. Lineage: Bacteria; Bacillati; Bacillota; Bacilli; Lactobacillales; Lactobacillaceae.
GCCUAUACAUGCAGUCGAACGAGUUCUCGGUUGAUGAUCGGUGCUUGCACCGAGAUUCAACAUCGGUAACGAGUGGCGGACGGGUGAGUAACACGUGGGUAACCUGCCCUUAAGUGGGGGAUAACAUUUGGAAACAGAUGCUAAUACCGCAUAGAUCCAAGAACCGCAUGGUUCUUGGCUGAAAGAUGGCGUAAGCUAUCGCUUUUGGAUGGACCCGCGGCGUAUUAGCUAGUUGGUGAGGUAAUGGCUCACCAAGGCGAUGAUACGUAGCCGAACUGAGAGGUUGAUCGGCCACAUUGGGACUGAGACACGGCCCAAACUCCUACGGGAGGCAGCAGUAGGGAAUCUUCCACAAUGGACGCAAGUCUGAUGGAGCAACGCCGCGUGAGUGAAGAAGGCUUUCGGGUCGUAAAACUCUGUUGUUGGAGAAGAAUGGUCGGCAGAGUAACUGUUGUCGGCGUGACGGUAUCCAACCAGAAAGCCACGGCUAACUACGUGCCAGCAGCCGCGGUAAUACGUAGGUGGCAAGCGUUAUCCGGAUUUAUUGGGCGUAAAGCGAGCGCAGGCGGUUUUUUAAGUCUGAUGUGAAAGCCCUCGGCUUAACCGAGGAAGCGCAUCGGAAACUGGGAAACUUGAGUGCAGAAGAGGACAGUGGAACUCCAUGUGUAGCGGUGAAAUGCGUAGAUAUAUGGAAGAACACCAGUGGCGAAGGCGGCUGUCUGGUCUGUAACUGACGCUGAGGCUCGAAAGCAUGGGUAGCGAACAGGAUUAGAUACCCUGGUAGUCCAUGCCGUAAACGAUGAAUGCUAGGUGUUGGAGGGUUUCCGCCCUUCAGUGCCGCAGCUAACGCAUUAAGCAUUCCGCCUGGGGAGUACGACCGCAAGGUUGAAACUCAAAGGAAUUGACGGGGGCCCGCACAAGCGGUGGAGCAUGUGGUUUAAUUCGAAGCAACGCGAAGAACCUUACCAGGUCUUGACAUCUUUUGAUCACCUGAGAGAUCAGGUUUCCCCUUCGGGGGCAAAAUGACAGGUGGUGCAUGGUUGUCGUCAGCUCGUGUCGUGAGAUGUUGGGUUAAGUCCCGCAACGAGCGCAACCCUUAUGACUAGUUGCCAGCAUUUAGUUGGGCACUCUAGUAAGACUGCCGGUGACAAACCGGAGGAAGGUGGGGAUGACGUCAAAUCAUCAUGCCCCUUAUGACCUGGGCUACACACGUGCUACAAUGGAUGGUACAACGAGUUGCGAGACCGCGAGGUCAAGCUAAUCUCUUAAAGCCAUUCUCAGUUCGGACUGUAGGCUGCAACUCGCCUACACGAAGUCGGAAUCGCUAGUAAUCGCGGAUCAGCACGCCGCGGUGAAUACGUUCCCGGGCCUUGUACACACCGCCCGUCACACCAUGAGAGUUUGUAACACCCGAAGCCGGUGGCGUAACCCUUUUAGGGAGCGAGCCGUCU